AGAAUUUGAAAUAUUCUUAGUUGUAAGCUGGAGGUUUUAGGCUAUCAUUCACAAUUCAUAAUAUUAUUGGUUGUGAAUGAGAGUUUUUAGAUUAAUAUUUGCAACCCAUAAUAUUUUUGGUUGUGAAUAAGAAAUUAUCUUAGGCUAUUAAUACAACUUGAAAUAUUCUUGAUUGUGAAUGAAAGUUUUUAUACUAUAAUUCACAUCAUCUUCGCUCUCACCUCCGUCGUGCCCGCAUCUUGCUACGCCGUUGACGAGGACUCAACCUCCCUCAUAGUCAACCUCUUAGACGACCUUCGUGGUCUCACCGCCAAUCACCCCAAAAACAGUGAUGAUCUCCACGAUCUUGCCCCACACAUAUCCCCUCCGUCGCUCACUCUACCGACUCCAUCAAAUUCUCCUGCACUGCUGCCUUUGUAAUCCUAUUCCUUAACCAAGGCUUGUCCAUCGGCCACUCUCUCUCUUUCCUUCUUUUCUCUCUACCUUUUACUUUCUUUUUCAAUAGAACACUCGGGAUCCCAAACUCAGAGAUCCCAGCCUCAUCUCCUGAAACCCCGCCCCAUUCCUCGUCUCGAGAUACCCUCACUCCUACGACAAAUUUGAUGAUACAAGACAACCCAUUUUUGUUUCCUCUCUUCUUGAAGAAAACGUUGAUGAGCAGAAAAAGUUGGUUAUGUCGGAUGAAGAUGACAAGAUCCGAGGGGGUAAUUAUGUAAUUUUGUACAAAAAUUGAUUAACUUGUAUUUUUUUUAAUCUUUGUGGAUACUUUUUAUUUUUGUUAUAUGAGAAUGGAUAGUUUCGUAUAUUAACUCUGUAUAAUAAUAUGGCGUUUGCAUUUUGAUGAGGAUAAAAGUAUGCCCCUCUAAGGAACAAAGUUAAAGUGGGC
This 886-nucleotide long non-coding RNA is filed under the name Salvia miltiorrhiza (redroot sage). RNAcentral's name for it is "long non-coding RNA (SMIL_LNC001857)". The record is from RNAcentral. Lineage: Eukaryota; Viridiplantae; Streptophyta; Magnoliopsida; Lamiales; Lamiaceae.